GUUUAUGUUUUUGUUUUCAUCGGAGGCAGCUUGCAGGAUACGAAAACGCAGCUAGAGCUGUUCCGGAUCCGCAUUUCGGGAAACGAUUCGGGUGCACCGAUGACUCUGCAGUGUCUCUCGUCAAGAUUUCUGGUGAUCGCGAAGCAAUUCCUCCAGGGCAAGAAUAUUCUGGUGAGCGUGAGCUUUGCCGAUGGAAGUUGGAAAGCCAAGAAGAAUCCAGCCGUAAGACAAGGAAACACAAAGAUGACCUAAAACGUAUUACGAGGUAAGGCUGGAGGUAAGGAGCUGUAAGGAGGCGUUUCCGGUAUUAGAGUCAGUUAGAUUAAUUUUAAGAUCAUCCUCUGAAUAAAUUGAGUCGUUCAGCAAUCGACACUUGGCAUAAAAUAUCUGAAAGUGUCAAUUCACAUUUAAUUUUUUUCUCACUUCACAGUACCUUUCCACGAGAACGGAAGAAGCGCAAAGUGGACAAAAAACAUCAAACUGGUGGCAAUAAUUAAUCUGAAAAAAUCACCCAGCAGGCAGCUGAUUUCCAGUCCCAAGCAAGUGAUAGUUCUCAGUGACGAACAAGGUGCAAUCAAUAUAAGAAGAGCAAACUAUCGGUUAAUGGUCGGAUCGUACGCUUCUCUGGAACCGGUGCCGGAGUUUCCAGAAUCCUAUGAUCCCUUCGAACCGACUUAAUCUCCGACUCAGUCGCGCCAGUUUACGGACACAAUCUGGGUAGCAUAUUGACGGUUAGCUAUCCGGAACAGCAUCACAAACAACACUAUCACCAUCACUUCACCAGCAUCUGCGAGGUAUACUCGACCUGCAUCCGACAUCAUCGAUGGACAAUCAUUCCACCGAGGACCAUCUUCGCCGAUUAAAUCGAUUCAAGUUCCUGUCACGAUCAAAUCUGUUGUCAUGGUGCCCGGAACAUGCAUUGAUAUUUCGAUCUUCGGCGGCAAAAAUGUGGACACAUGCUGACAUUUCGUCGUAUUCGCACCUUGGACCUGCGUAACCAAGUAUAUACUAAUUUCGGUUUCUGCAGUUAUACGUUUGUCGUAGUGUACGUUUUUUCAUUUUUAGGCUACUAAUAAAUACAUAUGGGGCGGUGGGUGGGGUGGUUAUGGUCAUCACAAUGAGGAACUAACCGAAGAUACCCAAAGUUACAUUAACAUUUCAACGGAUUGCAUAGGUAUAAAGUGAAAAUCUUUGGAGAUAUUUUCUUAGCCAGGAUGUACUAAGGCUUUUUCGGUUCACCAUAUCCUCCUAAUGCUAGGUGAAGCAAAUAAAGUUGGGACUUAAGCUUUUCGGUUCACCAUGUCCUCCUAAUGCAAGGUGAAGCAAAUAAAGUUAGGACUUGCUCGAGAUUUUUCGGUUCACCAUGUCCUCCUAAUGCAAGGUGAAGCAAAUAAAGUUGGGACUUGCUCUAGUUGUUUCGGUUCACCAUGUCCUACUAAUGCUAGGUGAAGCAAAAAAGGUUAGGACUUGCUCGAGAUUUUUCGGUUCACCAUGUCCUCCUAAUGCAAGGUGAAGCAAAUAAAGUUGGGACUUACUCAAGCUUUUCGGUUCACCAUGUCCUAAUGCAAGGUGAAGCAAAUAAAGUUGGUACUUGCUCAAGCUGUUUCGGUUCACCAUGUCCUCCUAAUGCAAGGUGAAGCAAAUAAAGUUGGGACUUACUCAAGCUUUUUCGGUUCACCAUGUCCUCCUAAUGCUAGGUGAAGCAAAAAAGGUUAGGACUUGCUCGAGAUUUUUCGGUUCACCAUGUCCUCCUAAUGCAAGGUGAAGCAAAUAAAGUUGGGACUUACUCAAGCUUUUCGGUUCACCAUGUCCUCCUAAUGCAAGGUGAAGCAAAUAAAGUUGGUACUUGCUCAAGCUGUUUCGGUUCACCAUGUCCUCCUAAUGCAAGGUGAAGAAAAUAAAGUUGGGACUUACUCAAGCUUUUUCGGUUCACCAUGUCCUCCUAAUGCUAGGUGAAGCAAAUAAAGUUAGGACUUGCUCAAGCUUUUUCGGUUCACCAUGUCCUCCUAAUGCAAGGUGAAGCAAAUAAAGUUGGGACUUACUCAAGCUUUUCGGUUCACCAUGUCCUAAUGCAAGGUGAAUCAAAUAAAGUUGGUACUUGCUCAAGCUGUUUCGGUUCACCAUGUCCUCCUAAUGCAAGGUGAAGCAAAUAAAGUUGGGACUUACUCAAGCUUUUCGGUUCACCAUGUCCUCCUAAUGCAAGGUGAAGCAAAUAAAGUUGGUACUUGCUCAAGCUGUUUCGGUUCACCAUGUCCUCCUAAUGCAAGGUGAAGCAAAUAAAGUUGGGACUUACUCAAGCUUUUCGGUUCACCAUGUCCUCCUAAUGCAAGGUGAAGCAAAUAAAGUUGGUACUUGCUCAAGCUUUUUCGGUUCACCAUGUCCUCCUAAUGCUAGGUGAAGCAAAUAAAGUUGGGACUUAAGCUUUUCAGUUCACCAUGUCCUCCUAAUGCAAGGUGAAGCAAAUAAAGUUAGGACUUGCUCGAGAUUUUUCGGUUCACCAUGUCCUCCUAAUGCAAGGUGAAGCAAAUAAAGUUAGGACUUGCUCGAGAUUUUUCGGUUCACCAUGUCCUCCUAAUGCAAGGUGAAGCAAAUAAAGUUGGGACUUACUCAAGCUUUUCGGUUCACCAUGUCCUCCUAAUGCAAGGUGAAGCAAAUAAAGUUGGGACUUACUCAAGCUUUUUCGGUUCACCAUGUCCUCCUAAUGCAAGGUGAAGCAAAUAAAGUUGGGACUUACUCAAGCUUUUCGGUUCACCAUGUCCUCCUAAUGCAAGGUGAAGCAAAUAAAGUUGGGACUUACUCAAGCUUUUCGGUUCACCAUGUCCUCCUAAUGCAAGGUGAAGCAAAUAAAGUCAUAAAUUCGCAUUUAAUCAAGUACUGAUGGACUAUCGCAGAAGUUUCAAAAAUUGACAUGUAAUAGUUGCGCGAUUUUAUUAAAUGCAGAUCCAGCGCACUUACUCGUUACAAAUUGAACUCGGUAGGUGUGAUGCUAUCCCGAAUGUUUAUUGACAUUUCCGAAUUUUAGAUCACUGACUGCGUUGUCUAGUACCACUUCACGGUGAAAACAAACAUAUGACACCGGUAAUGGUCGGUGAAAGUGAUUCACUGAUCAUGCGAGAAAAAGUUGGAAGUUCGAAAGUCAAAACUUUGGCGUCGGCAUUCUAAUUUGGGUUGGCCGAUGCAUAAGAAUUACCUGUGUCGGCGAUGCUUCAAUUAGAAUGCCGAUGUUUUUACUUCGGCGAACUAUUGUUGGGGAUAUUUGAUUUCACAUAUUGACUUCGGUCUAAAAUAAAUCAAUAUGUGCAAUAUUAACCCACAAGUUUUUCAUCAUCACCCAUUAUGAAAUGCUGAAAAAAAAAACAAUCGUUCAAUUUGGUUAUUUAUCUAACUAUACCUAAUUGUUUAUUUGCCAUGUCUGCACAUAAUAUGUAUAAAAUUUUGAAUUAAUGGGACGCAAUUAGUGAAAUACUAGAUUGAAAGUAAUGAGCUGGACUUUGGUAUGGUGAGAUGAUUAAUUCUUCAUUUCUGUAAUAAAAUGGUGCAAACAGCGUAGGUAUUAUGAUUUCUUGACUAAUUGGGUUUUUAAAUUAAGAAAAAUGUAUCGAUUUUUUGGUUUUAUACGAAAGAGCACGUUUUUCUAAGCAACUAUGAUUUUUUUCAGAUUUUUAGAACUUUAUUUUGAUACCUAAAAUCAAUUUCAAAGAGAUUUUUUUAAAUCGCCUUUUGACAGCUGGGAAACUGUUUGACAGCUCCACCCUGUACAAAAUGCGACGAGGGGUGAUUCGACAAAUCGCUCCCAUACAAACUUCAAAUUGAUUUUUAAAUAGGUUCCCGGGCACAAAAAUUCAUGAAAAUUUGGAUUUCGGCUCAGUUUUGCAUGCAGAUUCAGAAUAUGGAUUUAUUUCUAUACCGCUAAAGAAGCCAAUUUGAUGCUGUUUGAGCAAAAGUUUGGGUAACUGUGUUGUUGUAUUAUUUAUUUCUUGCAACUUCAACAGCACAGUUACCCAAACUUUUGCUCAAAUAGCAUCAAAUUAGUCAAAAAAUCAAUAAUCACCAGGAUAAUCACGCUGUUUGCACCAUUUCAUUGUAGAAAUGAAGAAUUGAUUAUCUCACCAUACAAAAAUCCAGCUCACUAUUUAAUCCAGUACUUCACUGAUUGCGUACUAUUGGAAUGAAAUUAGCUAAAGUUACAGCGGAAAAUGCCAACAAUUGGAACCCCUGCCCGAAUGGUCUCAUACCCCGGCAUACGUGCCAGACAGCCCACACUGGAUGCCAGAUGCGUUCGAAAUAUCACUAACUGCUUCGUUGAUAUUUAGCAUAAUACUUCUUGCAUUCGGUACAGAAGCCGGAACACAUUGCAAGCAAAAUUCGUGGCUGUCAGCGCCGGGAGGUUGACAAAGUUUCGUACGGCGGAUUGUGUUAAUUGUGACGUCUUUGCUGAACGAAUCUGUAAAAGACGAGGCAAAUAUUUCAAAAUCUAUUCGAUUUAAUUUUGUUUUCUAGAGUGGGGUACCCUUGCUAAAAAAAUAAGCACCAAUAAUCGCACCUUUCGUACCUAAUUUUUGUUUUCCAACGGUGGUUUGGGAAAUAGCAGCUCUCAAGGUCGAUUUUCGCCAGUAGUAAUAAUGGUACGCAUUCCCUUUCCAUUCCUGGAACGUCUGCCAAUUGCAUUCGAAGAUAACCGGUCGACAAUGAUUCCUGAUGACCGGAUGGAUCUUAUCAAUAGUUCCCAGUAGUGACAAAUAAUCCCAAAUUCACUGAGAAAGAUCUAGUAUGAUGGGAACCACAUAGAGCUGCUAAAUAUAGAAGUUUUCAUUAAAAUAAUAUCGUUUCUCUAUCAGCAUUUAACUUACCUACAAAUGGAAUGAUUAUUCCGAAAUCCUAACGACUACUGGAUGUAGUUUCCUGAAGCACCACCACCUACACUGGAUAGUGAUCCCAUCCGAGGCAAUUGUCGACGGCUUCUUCAGAACCAGACCAGCUACUCGCUUUAGAAAUGUCUCGGCUCCCUAACCAUUGCUACGGUAUUUCCGUUCUCAUGACUGAUCCAACCAGUAACUUCUAAAUUUGAAUUCCGCUCCGACAACAAGCAGUUGUUACCUGGAAACCUAGAGAAGGAGCCCCAUAGGAUGUCCUUCUUGCUUUGAUAAUCGGCAAAGUCAAGAAAGGAGCAGUUCCACCGUUUAGGGAAAAACUUUCCUCACGUACACUAACGUUUUGGCAAAAUCCGGUCGAUGGCCAGUUGGAUCAGGAGCACUGGUUCCUUCAGUAUAUAGUCCUCACUUGGCAGAACCGGAAUUCGCUCCCACGGACUUCCAGGGACUCAACAUCCCGACACUACGAUUGGCGCACGUAAAACUACAAAGUAAAUAAAUAUUCCACUUUUUUUUUUUUUCUCUCCCUUAUUGGCACAGACCUACUGGUCCAUAUCGCAGAUAUUCCACUUUGAAAUUCGGCGAAAACAAAACAAGAAUCGGACUGUCAUUUUGACAUUUACUUCUGUCAAACUAAGGGAUCGGACAUAAAUGAGGCUAACAAAUGAAAAGCCCCAUAUGCCGGUCACAGAUGAUGCCGUGGUCACCAAAAAAUAUGCAAGUUGUAUAUCGUUAUCGUUGAUUAAACUACUUCGUGAAACCUAACACAAAUCAAGAAAUUACAUACAUUCAAUUCAAGUUCCUUUGCUGAUCUCAAAUUCCUGCUACUUCAUGGUAUCCGGUAAAACAAAAAUAAUCGGCUGUUUUUCCAGUAUCUCAUUUUUGGCAUCUGCAUCUUCCGAAAUUGGGUCAACUUUCGAAAGGGAAAUAGUAUUUUUGAUCUAGUAAGAGUAUGUGCACAAUGAUAAUAAACUCUCGAAUAAACUCAUAAAUUCCAGAGUCUGAAUCCAGAAUGUAGUUUGAUGCCGGAUUCCUGACUCAGCAGAACGAUGGAAUGGGUUCCAAAGGAAUUAAUUUCCUUCCAGAUAAGAAUGCCAUAAUAAACAGCUUCAAAGUGGCUGGUGCUCUUCGAUGUUUGAAAAUAUAAAUAUAUUCUUGGAAUUUUCAAUGUUUUCGUUGUAAUUAAUCAAAAACAUUACAAUUACAUGCAUUUUUUGCAUUUUACUAUGUAUUUUAUCAAGUUUGUGCAUUUAAGAAGAAUUUGCAAUAUUUUUGCAUUUUCUAGGUAUUGACGCAUUUAUGCACUUUUAUUUCGAAUUGAGGUAUUUUUAUCGAAUUUAGUGUACCGUAUUACCCCGCUAAUACGACACCGACUGUUGUCGUAUAACCGGGGUAAAUUUUUAAUUCGACAAACUGGUCGCCCUACACCACCAUGCUCAUUAAAAUUUGGCAACCCUAUUUUUGUUUUUGUUUUGAUUCCCGGAUUUGUUAUGAAACAUAAUUUCGUGAAAUAUUACGGUGGCGCGAAUGAAAAGCUCGUUCUUUCUACGAUUGUUGCCAUCCUCAGUUCAUUCCGGUUGGUCUCCAGGCGGUUUGGGUGUUGAAUAGCACCAACUCAGAACUUCCGGAAUUUGCGGCUGCAAGAGGAGUUGCUGCGGGUGCGAGUAUAAUCGCAAUAUCAAACUGUUUUGCAUUAACAGUGUACAUCGCUGUGGCAUUUGGACAUUUUUUAAUUCGACAUGUGUCGUAUAAGCGGGGUACGAAUUAAAAAGUGUCGUAUUAAAACGUGUCGAACCAGAGGGGUAAGACGGUAUUUUUGAUGCAUUUUUGUAUUUUUCGUGCAUUGAAGUAUUUUUGUGCAUUUUAUUGAAUCGUGUAUUUUCAAUUCAGUAAUUUAGCAGAGUGAAUUGCCCCUCGUCUGGCUCCCACAGAAAAUUUGAAAACAGCUCGCACAGUAAAAGUGAAAUGUGACUUUUACUGUACGCGCUGUUUUCAAUUUUUCUGUGGGAGUGAGCAGGACAGGGCAAAUUCAUACAGAGGCUCAUGGCCACAUUCCCAGUUAUUUCAAAACAUCCGUUGCAAUGCUUUACAUAACCACACUGCAUGAGCUUGGACGUCUGUUAUCUGAGAUUAAAUCAAUUUCCGCACCGCCGGACACUUCAGAGUUCAACCAAAAGCAUAAUAAAAUAUUGCUAAAAAUGGAUCACUAAAAAACUAAAACGGCCGCUAUGAAAUAAACCAAGGAGAACGACAUUUCCUUUGCUUACUGGAAAAAUCCGCAUUUAUCCGUUGCUAACCGUCGUUAACCGCGUCUAACUGCUGCUCGGUGCGGAUUUCCCGGUUAGAAAAGGAAGUGCCAAACUUGGUGCCAAACCCCCUGAAGUAAACAGAUAGCGCCACCGUAGCCUUGUAUGUUUGACAUAACUCGGCUACUGUCACAAUGUUAAAACCCAUAUACGGUGACUCCUUUGCUUAGAUGUGAUAUCAGCUAGAAAAACGUGCUUCAAUCAAUGCUGAAAUCUAUGUGUAUAGGGUAUGUAGAGAAUAGAAGAGGUACAGAAAAAUGUGAGAAAGGUAGAAGUUGAAAGAGAGAAUAACGGGGUUGCCAUGGAGACGCUGGGUAGAAGGCAAGUAAACAGAACUAAUAAAUCAGUCUUGUGAAUUAUUUUGACGGAAACAAACGUGUUUCAUUUCGCGGUGGAAAUUGGCCGAAAGAACCAACCCCAGACAGUUUUGAGGCCUGAAAAUAGAUUCCGCUUGUUUCGGACACGACAUUGGCGCAUUAGCUCCCGAAAAGUAAGUUCCGCGGGUGUACAUUUGCAUUAUCAAUGCUGAUUGAAAGUCGGAAUGCCAUGCAUCGUGCACAGAUGGGACUGAAUAAAGAAAUAUGUCCAUCGUGGGUUGAGAUUGGAGACUAAAAAGAGACGAGAAUUUAUCCUUCAAGUAAAGUAAGUACACACACAUAUUCUGCUCAUGCAUGAAGUGCCAGUGAGAUUUUGUAUUCAUGUUUUAAAAGUUCAGAUUUUCAUUUGGCCUAGUUCGUCAAACACAAUUAUCGUUCAAGAAUGUUCCAUUUUUUUCUCCACCAUUCAUUUAGUUGCGAGAGUUAUCCGUGUGAGAGUGGGAGAGAGAAAAACAUUUCACUGCGGUUUUCAUUCGCAAGUGGGAAAUAACUGUAACUUAGCAACCGUUAUUUGCCACUUGUCAAUCAACACACACACAUAGAGGCAAAAGUGGUAAAAGAAUGCAUUCUGAUGUGCAGCAUAACAAGUUGAAAUCACUUUUUGUUUUCAUCAAGCUAUUUGUCUUGAUAGUCGAUGGAGGACAUGCAUACACUGGCUUGGUUAUUUCCCCACCGGUUUUGAUAAUGUUGCUGGUACAUAUUUUCAUCGUUGCAGAAUUUCCUAUUGCAUUAUUGAUGUUUGCUUCAUGUGCUGCAAAACCAUGCCCUGGGAGAUAUCUUCUUCUUCUUCUUCUUAUUUCUGGCGAGCCGACACCGUUCGGCAUCAGCUCUAGUUUAACGUCCGCCUAUUUCUGGUACUAAGCCUAAACACGGACGGUCAGGGAGACAUCCACACACACCUGACACCCUACAUAUCGAACCCAUCAACACAUGGGCCGGGACCUACGGCUUUACUUCCUAUCCGAGGGAAGGCGUGAUCAGAUAUUUUUGUCUCAGAAAUACCGACGGCGUCGACUAGGAUUGAACCUAGACCGACUGGGGUGAGAGGCAACCACGCUUACCACUACACCACCGACGCCGCUCUG
Long non-coding RNA from Aedes albopictus (Asian tiger mosquito), 8639 nucleotides. RefSeq lists it as uncharacterized. The transcript is spliced from 2 exons. Lineage: Eukaryota; Metazoa; Arthropoda; Insecta; Diptera; Culicidae. The record is from RefSeq and is a predicted model, not a curated record.